This is a long non-coding RNA of Solea solea (common sole), 595 nucleotides long. RefSeq lists it as uncharacterized. NCBI's taxonomy places the organism in Eukaryota, Metazoa, Chordata, Actinopteri, Pleuronectiformes, Soleidae. The transcript has 5 exons. The record is from RefSeq and is a predicted model, not a curated record.
AAUUAUAGAUGGGUUGCAAUUAUAAAUGGCAACACAUCAUUGUAUCAUGACAUGUGAUGAAGUGAUGGACAGUGAGUGGUUGCUGUAGGCCGGUGGUGGCAGUGCUGGUGAUCUGGUGGUGGCAUCCUCCCGUCUUGUCUUGCUGUUUCCCGGGGAGUGGGUUGUCUUCACUGAGAGUGUUUUUCUUUGGAUCCCUCCCCUGCACUAGCCUUCAUCCCUUCACUUUGGCCUCAGCUUUGGUUAGGUUUUUCCCUUUUUUUGUGAGCAUUUAAAAGAAAAAAUUUCAUGUGUCUCAUCACCGUUUUGGAACAAAAGUUUCAGAAGCAAGAAUGGCUCUUUAUCGUGUGGCUGUUUUGGCGCUCGUCGUUCUCCUGCUGCUUUAUGUUGCAGACAACGAGGCAGAUGUUGCUACCCGUCCUUUUGUGAUAGUUGAGCCACGCUAGAAGACUCAGCAGAUGUUUGGACAGACAGAAGACAUUGUUGUGGAGGAGUUGACUCUUAACUCGGAUGACUUCAAAAUGUUAAAACUACCUGCUUGUUGCUGAUUUCUGUGCAGUUCAAAUGGCUAAGAUGGAAUAAAAAUAUUCUUGGUUGA